RNAcentral lists this long non-coding RNA (273 nucleotides) under Homo sapiens (human). Its description in RNAcentral is "non-protein coding lnc-NOP14-7:1". Lineage: Eukaryota; Metazoa; Chordata; Mammalia; Primates; Hominidae. The record is from RNAcentral.
AAGAUUUUGGUAUCAAUUUAUACUUGCUUUAUAAAAAGAAUUGGGAAGUUUUGUUUUUCUAGAGUCUGGAAUAUUUCAAGCCCAUUCAAAGUUUUAUUUGCUCUCUAAGGUGUGCUAACAUUCCCAUGUCAGAUUGUUUGAGCCUGGUGUUUUUUUGAAGGGUAGCACUUUGACAACUUUACUUCUUCUCUUGAAAAUAUCCUAUUUAGGCUUCUAUUUUACUUGUGGUUAGUUUUGAUAAAUUAUGUUUUCCUAGAAAUGCAUUUCAUCCAA